GUGCCAGCCGCCGCGGUAAUACGGAAGGUCCGGGCGUUAUCCGGAUUUAUUGGGUUUAAAGGGAGCGUAGGCCGCCUUAUAAGCGAGCAGUGAAAUGUAGAGGCCCAACCUCUGAAUUGCUGUUCGAACUGUAGGGCUUGAGUACGCACGAGGUAGGCGGAAUUUGUGGUGUAGCGGUGAAAUGCUUAGAUAUCACAAAGAACCCCGAUUGCGAAGGCAGCUUACCGGAGCGCAACUGACGCUGAAGCUCGAAAGUGCGGGUAUCGAACAGGAUUAGAUACCCUGGUAGUCCGCACGGUAAACGAUGGAUGCCCGCUGUUGGCCCUUGUGGUCAGCGGCCAAGCGAAAGCGUUAAGCAUCCCACCUGGGGAGUACGCCGGCAACGGUGAAACUCAAAUGAAUUGACGG
Molecule: ribosomal RNA, 408 nt
Filed under: uncultured bacterium
Lineage: Bacteria
Description: bacterial SSU rRNA
Rfam family: Bacterial small subunit ribosomal RNA
Source: RNAcentral